Molecule: ribosomal RNA, 684 nt
Filed under: uncultured bacterium
Lineage: Bacteria
Description: bacterial SSU rRNA
Rfam family: Bacterial small subunit ribosomal RNA
Source: RNAcentral
GUGAGUAACGCGUAUGCAACCUGCCUUUAACCGGGGUAUAGCUCUCUGAAAGGGGAAUUAACACCGCAUGAGACCUCGCCCUCACCUGUGGGUGCGGUAAAAUAUUUAUAGGUUAAAGAUGGGCAUGCGUGACAUUAGCUAGUUGGUGAGGUAACGGCUCACCAAAGCUACGAUGUCUAGGGGUUCUGAGAGGAAGGUCCCCCACACUGGUACUGAGACACGGACCAGACUCCUACGGGAGGCAGCAGUGAGGAAUAUUGGUCAAUGGACGCAAGUCUGAACCAGCCAUGUCGCGUGCAGGACGACAGCCCUACGGGUCGUAAACUGCUUUUGUACGGGAAGAAAGUCAGCCACUAGUGGUUGUUUGCCGGUACCGUGCGAAUAAGGAUCGGCUAACUCCGUGCCAGCAGCCGCGGUAAUACGGAGGAUCCGAGCGUUAUCCGGAUUUAUUGGGUUUAAAGGGUGCGUAGGCGGGAUUAUAAGUCAGUGGUGAAAUACUGCAGCUCAACUGUAGGAUUGCCAUUGAUACUGUUUUUCCUGAGUACAGAUGAGGCAGGCGGAAUGUGGUGUGUAGCGGUGAAAUGCUUAGAUAUACCACAGAACACCGAUUGCGAAGGCAGCUUGCCAAGUUGUAACUGACGCUCAAGCACGAGAGCGUGGGUAUCAAACAGGAUUAGAUACCCU